UGGGGAAUUUUGGACAAUGGGCGCAAGCCUGAUCCAGCCAUGCCGCGUGCGGGAAGAAGGCCUUCGGGUUGUAAACCGCUUUUGUCAGGGAAGAAAUCUUCUGAGUUAAUACCUCGGGAGGAUGACGGUACCUGAAGAAUAAGCACCGGCUAACUACGUGCCAGCAGCCGCGGUAAUACGUAGGGUGCAAGCGUUAAUCGGAAUUACUGGGCGUAAAGCGUGCGCAGGCGGUUUUGUAAGACAGAGGUGAAAUCCCCGGGCUCAACCUGGGAACUGCCUUUGUGACUGCAAGGCUUGAGUGCGGCAGAGGGGGAUGGAAUUCCGCGUGUAGCAGUGAGAUGCGUAGAUAUGCGGAGGAACACCGAUGGCGAAGGCAAUCCCCUGGGCCUGCACUGACGCUCAUGCACGAAAGCGUGGGGAGCAAAACAGGAUUAGAUACCCUGGUAGUCCACGCCCUAAAACGAUGUCAACUGGUUGUUGGGAAGGUUCCUUCUCAGUAACGUAGCUAACGCGUGAAAGUUGACCGCCUGGGGAGUACGGCCGCAAGGUUGAAAACUCAAAAGGAAUUGACGGGGUCAUAGCUGUUUCCUG
This 591-nucleotide ribosomal RNA is filed under the name uncultured bacterium. RNAcentral's name for it is "partial 16S ribosomal RNA". It matches the Rfam family "Bacterial small subunit ribosomal RNA", at positions 355 to 1376 of the family's 1533-position model. The record is from RNAcentral.